This 295-nucleotide long non-coding RNA is filed under the name Fukomys damarensis (Damara mole-rat). Its description in RNAcentral is "lncRNA (ENSFDAG00000024093.1)". Lineage: Eukaryota; Metazoa; Chordata; Mammalia; Rodentia; Bathyergidae. The record is from RNAcentral.
GUUUUAUUCCAUAAAAACCUUCCACAACAAUGUCUCUGCAGUGGAACCAGGAAUCCUUUGAAACCAGGAGCCAAUUAACAUCUCCUUCAAUCUCUUAUCCAUUAUUUCCUUGGCCAACUCGCCCACAAGGGUCAGUUGAAAGGAGUGCAGUAUCCAGUGGAAUGUGAAUCAUUUGUGAGGCUAUUGUGUCUCUACUGAGUGCAAAGUUCUACGCCAAGACAGUAAGAGCAGGAGCAGCUACGUGCAUGGCAGCAGAGAAAUGUACUGAUCACCAUGGAGGAAGAGGGGAAAAGAC